GUUUUAAUAGUUUAAAAAAAACAUAGAUUUUGUAAAUCUAAAAUAAGAUUAUCUUUUAAAACU
Molecule: transfer RNA, 63 nt
Filed under: Abachrysa eureka
Lineage: Eukaryota; Metazoa; Arthropoda; Insecta; Neuroptera; Chrysopidae
Description: tRNA-Thr
Source: RNAcentral